This 254-nucleotide ribosomal RNA is filed under the name uncultured prokaryote. RNAcentral describes it as "partial 16S ribosomal RNA". It matches the Rfam family "Bacterial small subunit ribosomal RNA", at positions 525 to 777 of the family's 1533-position model. The record is from RNAcentral.
ACGUAGGGGGCGAGCGUUGUCCGGAUUUAUUGGGCGUAAAGAGCUCGUAGGCGGCUAAGUAAGUCGGGUGUGAAAACUCCAGGCUCAACCUGGAGACGCCACCCGAUACUGCUUUGGCUAGAGUCCGGUAGGGGAGCAUGGAAUUCCUGGUGUAGCGGUGAAAUGCGCAGAUAUCAGGAGGAGCACCAGUGGCGAAGGCGGUGCUCUGGGCCGGAACUGACGCUGAGGAGCGAAAGCGUGGGGAGCAAACAGGA